CCUUCUACCUCCUGAUUCAUCCUAUAGUUUCUUGAUCUUUGUGUUUGUUGGUCACCUUGUAUUUUGCAGUGUAUUGAUAUGUUUCAACGCAAAAGUUCAUUGAAACCAUCAAUAGGAGAGCAUGAUAAUUUGUUGUUGUUGUCCAUGUGGGUGUAGGACUGGACUGAUUGAAGGUCAUCCACCUCAAACAAAUCUUACAAAUCAACAUAAUAUACUAAACCUACUGAUCUAUGUAUCUUUUUGUGAGUGAAAAUGUUAACGCAGUGACUAAUAUGGAAUCCAAAGUGCCAACAAAGGGAUUUUUUUCGACAAAGGAAUAAUUAGAUAUUACUUAAGGGUACUAAAAAAUUGGAGAAAUUGCUAACAGGGGUGCCGCUGAUUCAAUUCGAGUAGUUCGGAGCUUUUACUUCAGGAUUUCAAUAAUUGUUUAGCAUUUAUAGCCCGUAUGUAUCUAAUUAUUGUGCCGUCGACAGUCGGAUCAGAUCGAGUCCUCUCAUAGAUCCACUGGUUGAUGAAUUCGUAAUAUUCACGAUUGAAUAUUAUUAUGAUGGAUAUUCCUCCUGGGGUGGAUAUAUCGCCCUUAUCCACCCCUUUGGGUAGGCCACUGGUCUUCAGCACUUUCACCUUACCUGUUCAUGAUCUUUUAAAAUCAGAUUAUGUAUGCAGAAUUCAAUUUUGUAGAUGGUAUGCCUAAAUCAACUAGACAUUUGGGGACACAACCAUGGUGUCUCCAUGGCCCUAGUCUAAGGAGAAUUCUCCUACUCUACAAUAAAAGAUAAUUGGAGCCUACUCUAUAGAAUUUUUUGUUGCAAAUUUCCUGAAAACUAGAGUAUCUUGUAUAUGCAAAAUUUCGUGUUGACAAAAUAAUAAACCAUAAUAAAAAGUU
This is a long non-coding RNA of Harmonia axyridis, 886 nucleotides long. RefSeq lists it as uncharacterized. The transcript has 2 exons. The record is from RefSeq and is a predicted model, not a curated record. Lineage: Eukaryota; Metazoa; Arthropoda; Insecta; Coleoptera; Coccinellidae.